GCGUCAGUGGUGCAAUGGUAGUAGCACCCGUCCACGUAUGGAUAAAACGCUGGUUCGAUUCCCGCCUGAGGCC
This is a non-coding RNA of Parelaphostrongylus tenuis, 73 nucleotides long. The record is from the annotation of a GenBank genome assembly. Lineage: Eukaryota; Metazoa; Nematoda; Chromadorea; Rhabditida; Metastrongylidae.